This 238-nucleotide ribosomal RNA is filed under the name uncultured bacterium. Its description in RNAcentral is "partial 16S ribosomal RNA". It matches the Rfam family "Bacterial small subunit ribosomal RNA", at positions 334 to 588 of the family's 1533-position model. The record is from RNAcentral.
UGAGCCUACGGGGGGCAGCAGUGGGGAAUAUUGCACAAUGGGGGAAACCCUGAUGCAGCGACGCCGCGUGAGCGAAGAAGUAUUUCGGUAUGUAAAGCUCUAUCAGCAGGGAAGAAGAAAGACGGUACCUGACUAAGAAGCCCCGGCUAACUACGUGCCAGCAGCCGCGGUAAUACGUAGGGGGCAAGCGUUAUCCGGAUUUACUGGGUGUAAAGGGAGCGUAGACGGCUGUGCAAGU